CAAUGGUAAGCCUAAGUAACGGCGAGUGAAGCGGCAAAAGCUCAAAUUUGAAAUCUAGCACUUUCAGUGUUCGAGUUGUAAUUUGAAGAAGGUAACUUUGGAAUUGGCUCUUGUCUAUGUUCCUUGGAACAGGACGUCACAGAGGGUGAGAAUCCCGUGCGAUGAGAUGUCCAAUUCUAUGUAAAGUGCUUUCGAAGAGUCGAGUUGUUUGGGAAUGCAGCUCUAAGUGGGUGGUAAAUUCCAUCUAAAGCUAAAUAUUGGCGAGAGACCGAUAGCGAACAAGUACAGUGAUGGAAAGAUGAAAAGAACUUUGAAAAGAGAGUGAAAAAGUACGUGAAAUUGUUGAAAGGGAAGGGCUUGAGAUCAGACUUGGUAUUUUGUGUUCCUUAUUCUUUUUGGAUUUGGUUCCUCACAGCUUACCGGGCCAGCAUCGGUUUGGAUGGUAGGAUAAUGACAUUGGAAUGUAGCUUUGCUUCGGUGAAGUGUUAUAGACUUUGUUGAUACUGCCUAUCUAGACCGAGGACUGCGUCUUUGACUAGGAUGCUGGCGUAAUGAUCUUAAGCCGCCCGUCUUGAACACGGACCC
RNAcentral lists this ribosomal RNA (585 nucleotides) under Dujonia oleophila. Its description in RNAcentral is "[Candida] oleophila partial large subunit ribosomal RNA". It matches the Rfam family "Eukaryotic large subunit ribosomal RNA", at positions 66 to 668 of the family's 3401-position model. Lineage: Eukaryota; Fungi; Ascomycota; Pichiomycetes; Serinales; Debaryomycetaceae. The record is from RNAcentral.